AUACGUAGGGUGCAAGCGUUAAUCGGAAUUACUGGGCGUAAAGCGUGCGCAGGCGGUUUUGUAAGAAAGAGGUGAAAUUCCCGGGCUCAACCUGGGAACUGCCUUUGUGACUGCAAGGCUAGAGUACGGCAGAGGGGGAUGGAAUUCCGCGUGUAGCAGUGAAAUGCGUAGAUAGGCGGAGGAACACCGAUGUCGAAGGCAAUCCCCUGGGCUUGUACUGACGCUCAUGCACGAAAGCGUGGGGAGCAAACAGGAUUAGAUCCCCUGGUAGUCCACGCCCUAAACGAUGGCAACUGGUUGUUGGGUCUUCAUUGACUCAGUAACGAAGCUAACGCGUGAAGUUGACCGCCUGGGGAGUACGGCCGCAAGGUUAAAACUCAAAUGAAUUGACGGGG
This 395-nucleotide ribosomal RNA is filed under the name uncultured bacterium. RNAcentral's name for it is "partial 16S ribosomal RNA". It matches the Rfam family "Bacterial small subunit ribosomal RNA", at positions 523 to 918 of the family's 1533-position model. The record is from RNAcentral.